This 321-nucleotide ribosomal RNA is filed under the name uncultured eukaryote. RNAcentral's name for it is "partial 18S ribosomal RNA". It matches the Rfam family "Eukaryotic small subunit ribosomal RNA", at positions 1470 to 1796 of the family's 1831-position model. The record is from RNAcentral.
CCCUUAGAUGUCCUGGGCCGCACGCGCGCUACACUGACAUGUUCAACAAGCCUCCUAGUUCGACAGGAUUUGGGAAAUCUUUGAACGCAUGUCGUGAUAGGGAUAGAUCAUUGCAAUUAUUGAUCUUGAACGAGGAAUUCCUAGUAAACGCGAGUCAUCAGCUCGCAUUGAUUACGUCCCUGCCCUUUGUACACACCGCCCGUCGCACCUACCGAUUGAAUGUUUCGGUGAAGAUUCCGGAUAGGACUUUUUUGAUUUAUUUCAAUUUUGUCUUAAAAGCUAUCUAAACCUCAACAUUUAGAGGAGGGUGAAGUCGUAACA